AGAGUUUGAUCAUGGCUCAGAUUGAACGCUGGCGGCAUGCCUUACACAUGCAAGUCGAACGGUAACGGGUCCUUCGGGAUGCCGACGAGUGGCGAACGGGUGAGUAAUAUAUCGGAACGUGCCCAGUAGUGGGGGAUAACUGCUCGAAAGAGCAGCUAAUACCGCAUACGACCUGAGGGUGAAAGGGGGGGAUCGCAAGACCUCUCGCUAUUGGAGCGGCCGAUAUCAGAUUAGCUAGUUGGUGGGGUAAAGGCCUACCAAGGCAACGAUCUGUAGUUGGUCUGAGAGGACGACCAGCCACACUGGGACUGACACACGGCCCAGACUCCUACGGGAGGCAGCAGUGGGGAAUUUUGGACAAUGGGCGCAAGCCUGAUCCAGCAAUGCCGCGUGCAGGAAGAAGGCCUUCGGGUUGUAAACUGCUUUUGUCAGGGAAGAAAUCUUCUGGGCUAAUACCCCGGGAGGAUGACGGUACCUGAAGAAUAAGCACCGGCUAACUACGUGCCAGCAGCCGCGGUAAUUC
Molecule: ribosomal RNA, 523 nt
Filed under: uncultured bacterium
Lineage: Bacteria
Description: bacterial SSU rRNA
Rfam family: Bacterial small subunit ribosomal RNA
Source: RNAcentral